Molecule: transfer RNA, 30 nt
Filed under: Anas crecca (Common teal)
Lineage: Eukaryota; Metazoa; Chordata; Aves; Anseriformes; Anatidae
Description: partial tRNA-Trp
Source: RNAcentral
AAACUUAGGAUAAUAUCCCUCAAACCGAAG